Cheilinus undulatus (humphead wrasse) is the source of this 170-nucleotide long non-coding RNA. RefSeq lists it as uncharacterized. Lineage: Eukaryota; Metazoa; Chordata; Actinopteri; Labriformes; Labridae. The record is from RefSeq and is a predicted model, not a curated record. The transcript has 3 exons.
AGCACUCUGCUCCCAGACGUCCCAGAGUUUAAAUCUAAGACAGACAAACCAAAGGGCAAGAGCAAGUCAAAGUCAAGGUCUAAAAAACACCAUGCAGAAGAUCCAUCUGCCAGCGGCCAGCUAUCCUCUCCGCUGAGCUCAGACGUUGUGUCAACAUCUACAAAGAAAAG